Molecule: long non-coding RNA, 555 nt
Organism: Onychostoma macrolepis
Lineage: Eukaryota; Metazoa; Chordata; Actinopteri; Cypriniformes; Cyprinidae
Exons: 3
Source: RefSeq, a predicted model, not a curated record
AGGCGAGACUAGUCGACUCAUCCAGUUUAGCGGAAAAUGCACUGGCAACAACUAAAAAAAGACGACCAAAAAUAUAAUUCAACAGAGGAUGAUAACUGUGGUGAAACAAGCACUCAAAUAAUGGAACUAAGACCUGUGGGAGUGCUGGAGAAAUCAAGUGUAUAAGUCCUCUGUCGUCUCAGCCAUGGAAGAGAUCUUCAGACAUGAAGAGAUCGAGGAGUUAAACUAAAUCAAAGAGCUAAAAGAAGAUCUACAAUACUACUGCCAUUUCAGUAUGAAAACAGAGAGAGAGCUGAGGCAGUGGAAAGGUAAAGAAAUCUAGUUAUAACAGCAAUUAUUCUCAAUGCUUAACAUCAGCUCUCAACAGUUUGCUUGUGGACUCUUUGAUUCUCUCUGAUUGACUGGAAGGUGUGCAUUAAAACAGUGAAUGCAGAUAAUUACAAUCAGUUCAAUCGCUAUUUUAAAUCAAUGCGCUGCUUGUACUGUAGCACACACAUACAGUCAGAACGCUAGAUCUAAUGACCUGCAACCAAACAAACUCAAUCUCAUGUCGUU